This is a long non-coding RNA of Magnolia sinica, 902 nucleotides long. RefSeq lists it as uncharacterized. The transcript is spliced from 3 exons. Lineage: Eukaryota; Viridiplantae; Streptophyta; Magnoliopsida; Magnoliales; Magnoliaceae. The record is from RefSeq and is a predicted model, not a curated record.
CCUCUCCCUCUCCCUCUCCCGAUCUCAACCCUCUCUCGAUCUCCCUCUCCCGAUCUCAACCCUCUCUCUCAAUCUCCCUCUCACUCUCCCUCCCUCUCUCGAUCUCCCUCUCCCUGCAACAUCAACCAUUCCACGACAGUCCCCACACAUUGGGUAUCUAAUAUUGUAGAAGCAGCAGCAGUAGCUCCAUAUGGGGUGUGUGAUCUGUCGUACACGGUUGAAUGGGGAAGACUGAAGGGAGGGAGUGAGUGCAGCAGCAGCAGCAGCAACAACGAAUUCCUAGAAAACUACAAGGACCGAUUUCUUGCUGCUUUGCCAGCACCUCGUUGAGCAAGUGUUGACUUCAGUCGGCCUAUUUUCACAGCCACUGCAUUCUACUUGUGUGCAAAAAGGCAAAAGGUAGCUAAUCAUUGAAAUCCUUUCUUCUCUUUCCAUUUCAACCUGCCUGAUUUUUUAAAAUGUUUCUUACGCUUCAGUGUUUACUUGUUUUGCAGCUUAAAGUAGACAAGAUUAAGCUUAUUGAGCUAUGUGGCACAUCAGAAUCUGAAUUUACUAGUGUUUUCCUGCAUCAAUUUUCUCAUAAGAUGUUGCUUCUUGUGCAACAGAUUCUGUACAUGCAUGUUUCCAUUUUCACCAAGACACUAAGAAUAAAAGACAAACAACAGAUGACUGUGACUCUGUAACAGCCAAAAAGUUAGAGUGCCACCAAUUUUAUAGUUAGUAGUAGCAAAGGUGGAAAUGGAGGGUAGAGAUGUGGAUAGAAAUUCAAAAUAAACAUGUUACUUACAAGGAGAAAGAAAUCAUACCUUACCAAGUUGGCUAGUUGUGGCCAGUAGUACAUUACAUUUAUGUUUAUUUUGGAUUACAAAGAAAUCAUACCUUUGUACUCUUAUUGAGGUCAA